RNAcentral lists this ribosomal RNA (548 nucleotides) under uncultured bacterium. RNAcentral describes it as "partial 16S ribosomal RNA". The record is from RNAcentral.
ACGGUUACCUUGUUACGACUUCACCCCAGUUACCGGCUCCACCUUCGGCAGCUCCUUCCUUUCGGUUAGGUCACUGACUUCGGGCAUUUCCGACUCCCAUGGUGUGACGGGCGGUGUGUACAAGACCCGGGAACGUAUUCACCGCGACAUUCUGAUUCGCGAUUACUAGCGAUUCCAGCUUCAUGUAGUCGAGUUGCAGACUACAAUCCGAACUGGGACGUUAUUUUUGGGAUUUGCUUAACGUCACCGUCUCGCUUCCCUUUGUUUACGCCAUUGUAGCACGUGUGUAGCCCUGAUCAUAAGGGGCAUGAUGAUUUGACGUCAUCCCCGCCUUCCUCCCGGUUAUCCCGGGCAGUCUCUCCAGAGUGCCCACCUCUACCUGCUGGCUACUGGAAAUAGGGGUUGCGCUCGUUGCGGGACUUAACCCAACAUCUCACGACACGAGCUGACGACAACCAUGCACCACCUGUCUCCAAUGCCCCGAAAGGAAAGUGACUUUGCUCACUCGUCAUCGGGAUGUCAAGACCAUGUAAGGUUCUUCGCGUUGC